RNAcentral lists this ribosomal RNA (460 nucleotides) under uncultured bacterium. RNAcentral describes it as "partial 16S ribosomal RNA". It matches the Rfam family "Bacterial small subunit ribosomal RNA", at positions 338 to 795 of the family's 1533-position model. The record is from RNAcentral.
CCUACGGGUGGCAGCAGUGAGGAAUAUUGGUCAAUGGGCGAGAGCCUGAACCAGCCAAGUCGCGUGAAGGAUGACUGCUCUAUGGUUUGUAAACUUCUUUUAUAUGGGAAUAAAGUGAGGAACGUGUUCCUUUUUGUAUGUACCAUAUGAAUAAGCAUCGGCUAACUCCGUGCCAGCAGCCGCGGUAAUACGGAGGAUGCGAGCGUUAUCCGGAUUUAUUGGGUUUAAAGGGUGCGUAGGUGGUUAAUUAAGUCAGCGGUGAAAGUUUGUGGCUCAACCGUAAAAUUGCAGUUGAUACUGGUAGACUUGAGUAGAGUUGAGGUAGGCGGAAUGCGUGGUGUAGCGGUGAAAUGCAUAGAUAUCACGCAGAACUCCGAUUGCGAAGGCAGCUUACUAAACUAUAACUGACACUGAUGCACGAAAGCGUGGGUAUCAAACAGGAUUAGAUACCCUUGUAGUC